RNAcentral lists this ribosomal RNA (478 nucleotides) under uncultured bacterium. Its description in RNAcentral is "partial 16S ribosomal RNA". It matches the Rfam family "Bacterial small subunit ribosomal RNA", at positions 28 to 507 of the family's 1533-position model. The record is from RNAcentral.
GAUGAACGCUGGCGGCGUGCUUAACACAUGCAAGUCGAACGAGAAGUGAAGACGGAAACCUUCGGGUGGAAGGCUUUAUUUCUAGUGGCGGACGGGUGAGUAACGCGUGGGCAACCUGCCUCAUACAGGGGGAUAACAGUUGGAAACGACUGUUAAUACCGCAUAAGACCACAGCACCGCAUGGUGCGGGGGUAAAAACUCCGGUGGUAUGGGAUGGACCCGCGUUCGAUUAGCCAGUUGGCGGGGUAACGGCCCACCAAGGCGACGAUCGAUAGCCGAUCUGAGAGGAUGACCGGCCACAUUGGGACUGAGACACGGCCCAAACUCCUACGGGAGGCAGCAGUGGGGAAUAUUGCACAAUGGGGGAGACCCUGAUGCAGCGACGCCGCGUGAGUGAAGAAGUAUUUCGGUAUGUAAAGCUCUAUCAGCAGGGAAGAAAAUGACGGUACCUGAGUAAGAAGCCCCGGCUAACUACGUG